GUCAGUGCAGUGAUGACUUGACUUUUUUCCCCAUCAGAUCGACCCUGUUGAUCCAACAGCUUUAAGCCAGUUUUAGUCUGAUGCAUUGAC
This is a small nucleolar RNA of Sorex fumeus (smoky shrew), 90 nucleotides long. RefSeq annotates it as small nucleolar SNORD12/SNORD106. The record is from RefSeq and is a predicted model, not a curated record. NCBI's taxonomy places the organism in Eukaryota, Metazoa, Chordata, Mammalia, Eulipotyphla, Soricidae. The transcript has a single exon.